AGCCCAAAUUUGAAGUAGAUCAGAUCAGAAGGAUCAUCUGACCCUACUGAACUACUCUACUUCGAGUUUGUGCCC
Haemonchus placei is the source of this 75-nucleotide non-coding RNA. Lineage: Eukaryota; Metazoa; Nematoda; Chromadorea; Rhabditida; Trichostrongylidae. The record is from Rfam.